UCACCUCUCUCUCUCCUCUCUCUUUCCCCCUCUCUCUCUCCUCUCUCUCUCUCUCCUCUCUUCUCUUCCCCCCCCCUCUCUCUCUCUCCUCUAAAAUCUGUUCAGUCACCAACAGAGAAGCACUAGAGAGCUAAUGAAGACUUGUGAAACUUAAACUUGUGAUGAAAAAUGAAAAUAUAUUGUUUUUCUUUUCAAUGUGUUUGAUGCUGUUGUUUGAUCAGGUGGUUGAUCACGUGCAGUCAGUAUAAUAAUAAUAGCCCAGUGGUAACUACGACGACAACGUAAAGCUAGUUGCCGUCUGUGGGACAUUUUUUUUGUUUGAUGAAUCAAUCACGCCUCUGAACCUUGAUCUUCAACCCCUGACCUCUAUUCAACUGCCCCAUCAGCAAUCCUCUAGAUAAGGGGUAGACCACCCCUGUUUCAGGAGUACUGCGGGUACUGCAGGUAUUCUGUUCCAACGAGGGCACCACACCUAACCAACUGAGCUAAUUGAUCAGUUGAGUGAUUUGCCUAAAUUCAACACACCUGCUAUUCCCAGGUCGGUUAAAUCAAAAACAUGAAGUGGCUCCAGGACCGGGGUCGCCUACCCUUGUUUUAGAUCCUCUGAGUCCGGGUUAUCCAAACACGGUCCUGGGGGCCCGUUUUGGUUGUUGUCCACUACACAGCUGAUUGAAGUAACCAACUCAUCGUCAAGCUUCGAUUAUUUUUAAUCAGCUGUGUAGUGGUAGGACAACACCCAAAACAUACACCCAGGGUGUGGGGCCCCAGGGCCGAGUUUGUGAAACCCUGCUGUAAAGUUAGCCUGUCUUGCCUAAACGUCCCAAUUUAAAAGAUUGUAUUUUUUUUUUAAACAAGACACGACUGGAGGAGGUGGUGAUUCGGGUGAUGAUUUUGUGACGGUGGAAAUCUCUCACCCACGUUAUUUUAUACACACAUUUUGUUGUCCUUAAUUGAGUAGACGCCCACUACCCACCAUGCCCUGCUUCAAUAACUGUGUAUAACAGUAUGUUCUUAACUGCUAGAGGAUAUCUGUGGAAAUAAAAGUAUGUGAAUAGUAAUCUA
Molecule: long non-coding RNA, 1062 nt
Organism: Salvelinus namaycush (lake trout)
Lineage: Eukaryota; Metazoa; Chordata; Actinopteri; Salmoniformes; Salmonidae
Exons: 2
Source: RefSeq, a predicted model, not a curated record